This 360-nucleotide ribosomal RNA is filed under the name Triticum aestivum (bread wheat). RNAcentral's name for it is "partial small subunit ribosomal RNA". Lineage: Eukaryota; Viridiplantae; Streptophyta; Magnoliopsida; Poales; Poaceae. The record is from RNAcentral.
AUGCACCGAGUUUACCAUGUUCAGAAACAAGUGAUGAGGGAGAUGCAGAUAGCUGGGCUGAACCAGGCUCACACUGAGAGGAAACAUAAACUCGAGGUCUCGCGCGACGGCAAGGCUACCGACCGUCAGCAACUCUACAACUGCACCCCUGCCUCUGCAACAAAAUGCAACCUUGAGCUCACCCUAGCAACCGAGAGCAGCAGAAGCCACAAGGGCAAGCAAGUGGGCAAGUCCUCAAACUCAGACCCCGGGAUGGCGGUGUCGUCAACAUCGACCGAACCUGAUCUGGCUCAGCUCAGGGAGUUUGACACGAGGGCAAUGAGGUUUCAGACUGAGAGCAAAAGUUGCACCAGCCUGUGA